AGAAGUGGCAUUAGGAAACACGCAUCUGGAAGCAGAAGACCUCGUUACGUCCUGAUACAGCUGCGCUCACGCUUCCUGCUCGAACCAACCCAAGGAGAGCAGAAAUCUUCCACACAGCAAUCAUUGCCACUAAAUACACACCCUUGUGAAAACUGGCUUGUGAGACCAGAGCAGAGCUAGGCCAGAAUAUCCCCUAAUGAAAUGUGUGCAGUGUGAACGUCAUGUGCUCAAGAACAGCUGUCUGUCUACCAUGACCAUCCCUAUGGAUGAUGUAGAAAUGAAACAUUUCUUCUUGUUCUUCCGCAACCUUUCAGAGAGGAGUCUGGAGUGCAUUCAAGGAAAGGGGACUGAAUGUGGUCU
RNAcentral lists this long non-coding RNA (360 nucleotides) under Gallus gallus (chicken). Its description in RNAcentral is "long non-coding RNA NONGGAT006571". The record is from RNAcentral. Lineage: Eukaryota; Metazoa; Chordata; Aves; Galliformes; Phasianidae.